RNAcentral lists this ribosomal RNA (586 nucleotides) under uncultured Fusarium. RNAcentral's name for it is "eukaryotic LSU rRNA". The stretch from base 221 to 374 matches the Rfam family "5.8S ribosomal RNA". The record is from RNAcentral. Lineage: Eukaryota; Fungi; Ascomycota; Sordariomycetes; Hypocreales; Nectriaceae.
CAAACUUGGUCAUUUAGAGGAAGUACAAGUCGUAACAAGGUCUCCGUUGGUGAACCAGCGGAGGGAUCAUUACCGAGUUUACAACUCCCAAACCCCUGUGAACAUACCACUUGUUGCCUCGGCGGAUCAGCCCGCUCCCGGUAAAACGGGACGGCCCGCCAGAGGACCCCUAAACUCUGUUUCUAUAUGUAACUUCUGAGUAAAACCAUAAAUAAAUCAAAACUUUCAACAACGGAUCUCUUGGUUCUGGCAUCGAUGAAGAACGCAGCAAAAUGCGAUAAGUAAUGUGAAUUGCAGAAUUCAGUGAAUCAUCGAAUCUUUGAACGCACAUUGCGCCCGCCAGUAUUCUGGCGGGCAUGCCUGUUCGAGCGUCAUUUCAACCCUCAAGCACAGCUUGGUGUUGGGACUCGCGUUAAUUCGCGUUCCUCAAAUUGAUUGGCGGUCACGUCGAGCUUCCAUAGCGUAGUAGUAAAACCCUCGUUACUGGUAAUCGUCGCGGCCACGCCGUUAAACCCCAACUUCUGAAUGUUGACCUCGGAUCAGGUAGGAAUACCCGCUGAACUUAAGCAUAUCAAUAAGCGGAGGA